Long non-coding RNA from Pogoniulus pusillus (Red-fronted tinkerbird), 208 nucleotides. RefSeq lists it as uncharacterized. Lineage: Eukaryota; Metazoa; Chordata; Aves; Piciformes; Lybiidae. The record is from RefSeq and is a predicted model, not a curated record. The transcript has 3 exons.
ACCAGUUUUGAAACUGCUCUGCAUUUCCCAAGAGAGAAGUAAAUAGUCCAGCUGAGCUGUUUCCACACUUCCUGCAUUUUGCCUUUGUUCUCUCCUGUGUGAUUUGAGAACGACGACUGCAUCAUGUGAGGCUGCAUGGUCAGAAACCAACACAGUCUUCUUACAAGUGUUGAGGAAAGAGGAAGAAAUGAUCUAAGAAAGCAAGAGG